GAGGGAGAGAGGUUGCUGUGUAAUAUAUUACCUCACCACAGCGUCAGAGAUUGUUCGAUUUGUGUAGCGCCUAGGCACUCAGUGACUAAGUUCCGCUUUUGCUUCGUUGACGAUCUAACUUCGUUGGGUUGACUCAACACGGAGUACGAAACUCGGCUAAGAUUUUGAUUCUGUGAUAUUCGUCAUUUUUGGAUAUUGCCACCCAAGAGCGAUUAGCCAUAUCCUUCAAGCAAGAUGGAAAGUUCUGAUCAGAAUAAUGACAAUCGACAGUCUACAUCAGCUGACAAUGAAGAGCAGGGAUGCCAAAGGCAAAAGAUGAGAUAUUCUGGGAAAUACAGCUCUCAAUUGAUCCACAAAAGUUUAAGACUUCAUGCUGCGGCUUCCAUGAAAAGCAAAAAGCCCCCAAAGAAGCUGAUUUUACUGAGAAUUUAAAUCUCAGCUGAAAGUCAAAUGCAUAUAUGUAUACUUGGAAAAUAAUAAAAGUCAUGGAUGAGGAAGAUGAAGAGGAUGAGCAGGAUGGAAGCGAUAGAGUCAUCGUUUCAUUGUCAGUGUGUUGAUGAUUGUCAUCACGAGAAAGUGGAGAUUGGAAAAUUGGAAUGGUACAGAAUAGUGAUGGUGCUCUUUUCAAAGAACACUCCGGCGACUACGAGCAUCAUUUCAUAAUCGCAAAAUAAAUAAAUAAAUAAGAUAAAAUUUAAACUAUUUCUAAAAAUGUUUUAGCAGUUCCUAAAAUUUGUUGCCCAUUUCAUUUGUCACCGAGAAAUCGAAUACCAUUUCUAAUAUGAAAUUAAAUUACAGUUUUCUUACCUGGACGUUGUGAAAAAGUGCAACAAAAUGUCUAAUCGAAGGUGAUUGAAAAUUCAUCCUAUUAGCCAAUUCAUGUUUAAUAGAAACCAUAUCAAUUGAGCAAAGAGUGAUCUGUACCAUGAUAACAAUUUUAACAAGACUUCAGAUUUGGUAAGUGUUCAUGUCAAGCUGUGACUAAAUGUUUCGUGAUAUUUUUUUGGUUUGGGUUUAAUAAAUGUCUGCUUUCUGUAACAAGUGAUAAUAUUUUACUUAUGAACUUAUCCAUAUCAUUUACUUAAUGUAAACUUGAUGUUGUUAAGAAAAAUUUCGUUGGUUUGCAGCUAAAUAUAAAAUUAAUGUUAUUGUCGUGUGUCAAUGUUGUAAUAAAAUUUCUUCUAAAAAUUAAUUUGCUAUUGUGAGUGUGAAACAAAUGUAUUUUAUUUGUUAAGUUUUUGGUGUAUUUAAAGAGUUUGUGAAUCGUGUGAAUAUUUCAUAUUGUUGUGUAAUCUGGGAUGAAGACAUUUCUCUGAAAUUCUAAUAAAUUCUUUUCCACUGGC
Long non-coding RNA from Argiope bruennichi, 1343 nucleotides. RefSeq lists it as uncharacterized. NCBI's taxonomy places the organism in Eukaryota, Metazoa, Arthropoda, Arachnida, Araneae, Araneidae. The record is from RefSeq and is a predicted model, not a curated record. The transcript is spliced from 4 exons.